AUGGCGAGGUCGCCCAUGGCGAUGCUCCCGUUCUUGGCGCUCGGGGUGGCAGCACUAGUCCUAUCUGCCGCGGGAAUGGUGGCCGCGCAGAAGUGCGGCUGCCGGGCGAACGAGUGCUGCAGCCAGUACGGGUAUUGCGGCACUACCGACGCCUACUGCGGACAAGGGUGUCAGUCUGGCCCGUGCUCGGGGAGCGGCGGCGGCGGCGGGAGCGGCGUCUCCGUGGAGAGCGUCGUCACCGAGGCGUUCUUCAACGGGAUCAAGUCCCGGGCCGGCAACGGGUGCGCCGGCAAGAGCUUUUACACGCGCCCGUCGUUCCUGAGCGCCGCCCGGGCCAACCCCAACUUCGGGAAAGGCCGCACGACCGACGACGGCAAGAGGGAGAUAGCCGCCUUCUUCGCCCACGUCACGCACGAGACCGGACACAUGUGCUACAUCGAGGAGAUCGGCGGGGCGAGGCAGAACUACUGCGACAGGAAGUACACGCAGUGGCCGUGCGCCUCGGGGAAGGGGUACUACGGGCGCGGGCCGCUGCAGCUGACGUGGAACUACAACUACGGGGCGGCGGGGAAGAGCGUGGGAUUCGACGGGCUGAACAACCCGGAGAAGGUGGCGCAGGACCCGGAGGUGGCGUUCAAGGCGGCGCUCUGGUUCUGGAUGAACAACGUGAAGCAGGUCCUGCCGCGGGGGUUCGGCGCCACGACCAGGGCCAUCAACAGCGGCGAGUGCAACGGCGGGAACGCGGCCGCCAUGAACGCCCGGGCGGGCUACUACAGGGCCUACUGCAGGCAGUUCGGCGUCGACCCGGGGAACAGCCUCACUUGCUAG
This 828-nucleotide ribosomal RNA is filed under the name Triticum aestivum (bread wheat). RNAcentral describes it as "partial small subunit ribosomal RNA". Lineage: Eukaryota; Viridiplantae; Streptophyta; Magnoliopsida; Poales; Poaceae. The record is from RNAcentral.